AGGACUAACGCUGGCGGCGUGCCUAACACAUGCAAGUCGAACGAAGUAGCAAUACUUAGUGGCAGACGGGUGAGUAACACGUAGUCAACCUGCCCUUCAAUGGGGGAUAACUAGCCGAAAGGUUAGCUAAUACCGCAUACGAUCUCUGAGUGGCAUCACUCGGCGAUGAAAGGAGUAAUCCGUUGAAGGAGGGGACUGCGUCCCAUUAGUUAGUUGGUGGGGUAAUGGCCUACCAAGACUCCGAUGGGUAGCUGGCUUGAGAGAGCGACCAGCCACACUGGAACUGAGACACGGUCCAGACUCCUACGGGAGGCAGCAGUGAGGAAUUUUCCGCAAUGGGGGAAACCCUGACGGAGCGACGCCGCGUGUGGGAAGAAGGCCUUCGGGUCGUAAACCACUGUCGAGGGGGACGAUAUUGACGGUACCCCUGGAGGAAGCCCCGGCUAACUACGCGCCAGCAGCCGC
RNAcentral lists this ribosomal RNA (465 nucleotides) under uncultured bacterium. Its description in RNAcentral is "SSU rRNA". It matches the Rfam family "Bacterial small subunit ribosomal RNA", at positions 26 to 518 of the family's 1533-position model. The record is from RNAcentral.